Molecule: ribosomal RNA, 641 nt
Filed under: uncultured bacterium
Lineage: Bacteria
Description: bacterial SSU rRNA
Rfam family: Bacterial small subunit ribosomal RNA
Source: RNAcentral
CGCGGCCUAUCAGCUUGUUGGUGGGGUAAUGGCCUACCAAGGCGACGACGGGUAGCCGGCCUGAGAGGGCGACCGGCCACACUGGGACUGAGACACGGCCCAGACUCCUACGGGAGGCAGCAGUGGGGAAUAUUGCACAAUGGGCGGAAGCCUGAUGCAGCGACGCCGCGUGAGGGAUGACGGCCUUCGGGUUGUAAACCUCUUUCACCCAUGACGAAGCGCAAGUGACGGUAGUGGGAGAAGAAGCGCCGGCCAACUACGUGCCAGCAGCCGCGGUAAGACGUAGGGCGCGAGCGUUGUCCGGAAUUAUUGGGCGUAAAGAGCUCGUAGGCGGCUUGUCGCGUCGGCUGUGAAAUCCCGUGGCUCAACUGCGGGUCUGCAGCCGAUACGGGCAGGCUAGAGUUCGGUAGGGGAGACUGGAAUUCCUGGUGUAGCGGUGAAAUGCGCAGAUAUCAGGAGGAACACCGAUGGCGAAGGCAGGUCUCUGGGCCGAUACUGACGCUGAGGAGCGAAAGCGUGGGGAGCGAACAGGAUUAGAUACCCUGGUAGUCCACGCUGUAAACGUUGGGCGCUAGGUGUGGGGGACCUCUCCGGUUCUCUGUGCCGCAGCUAACGCAUUAAGCGCCCCGCCUGGGAGUACG